AUGGAGAAGAUAGUUGACAUAUAUUGUGAUGUGAGUGAGCAUCAGCAAAGUGAGGAGCAUGAGCACCGCAUCCAUGGUCUGGAGCUGGAGGCCUACGUGAGCGUCAUCAAGGCGUUCCACGCCAAGGGGCCGCUGACCUGGGCCAGGCAGGAGCUGCUGUCCGACCUCCGCCUGCACCUCCACGUCUCCGGCGACGACCACCUGCAGCUGCAGUCAAAGCUUGAUGUUGAUUUUGGGUCUCGGUCAAAUUUUGAUUCUGAACUUGGGUCUCACUCAUCAGUUCCAACUUCCAAACUUAUUGGCUGA
RNAcentral lists this ribosomal RNA (306 nucleotides) under Triticum aestivum (bread wheat). RNAcentral's name for it is "partial small subunit ribosomal RNA". The record is from RNAcentral. Lineage: Eukaryota; Viridiplantae; Streptophyta; Magnoliopsida; Poales; Poaceae.